This 369-nucleotide ribosomal RNA is filed under the name uncultured Oscillibacter sp. RNAcentral describes it as "bacterial SSU rRNA". It matches the Rfam family "Bacterial small subunit ribosomal RNA", at positions 355 to 739 of the family's 1533-position model. The record is from RNAcentral. Lineage: Bacteria; Bacillati; Bacillota; Clostridia; Eubacteriales; Oscillospiraceae.
UGGGGAAUAUUGGGCAAUGGACGCAAGUCUGACCCAGCAACGCCGCGUGAAGGAAGAAGGCUUUCGGGUUGUAAACUUCUUUUAAGGGGGAACAGUAGAAGAGGGUACCCCUUGAAUAAGCCACGGCUAACUACGUGCCAGCAGCCGCGGUAACACGUAAGGUGCGAGCGUUGUUCGGAAUCAUUGGGCGUAAAGGGCAUGUAGGCGGUCUGUCAAGCCAGGCGUGAAAGCCAGGGGCUCAACCCCUGAACUGCGCUUGGAACUGGCGGACUGGAGUCGCUGAGGGGGAACCGGAAUUCCUGGUGUAGGGGUGAAAUCUGUAGAUAUCAGGAAGAACACCGAUGGCGAAGGCAGGUUUCCAGCAGACGA